AGAGGAUUCCAUUAUACUGGACUUCCGAUAUUAGCGAUCACCCAUUGACUAUUAUUAUUUUUUAAAUCACCACCAACUUAAAAUGUGUUCAAUUUGCCUGUCCGUCUAUCCGCCUGUCCAUCACACUUUAGUUUCAGUUUAGAAAUGCUUUGACCAAAUGAUUCUAUUAUUGGUUUGUUAAUAUUAUGUUACGGGUCAAUUUUGUGAUUUAUGCUGGUGGAAUAACAUCUCAGACGGAUGUGUGCCAUAAGGAAUUAAAAAAUGUCUUACAAUUGUUAGGGCCAUAUCUAUCUUGCCUUUCCAUAAGCCAGGUUGGCCCGGCUAUUGCAAUCCCAUGAAGUUCAUCAUCUGUUAACCUUAAACCAGAUGCUCCAUAGGGCACAGCUUUAUACGACAGCAGAGUUCGAACCCUGAUUAGUUGGGGCAAGUAUGGACACAACAUUCAAGCUUGAUACAGCUCUGA
This 463-nucleotide long non-coding RNA is filed under the name Mytilus galloprovincialis (Mediterranean mussel). Lineage: Eukaryota; Metazoa; Mollusca; Bivalvia; Mytilida; Mytilidae. The record is from RNAcentral.